AUAGAGUACCUUUUUAUGUUUACUAAUUUUUUUUUUUUUGGAUGAAGAUGUCUAAUAAUGAAAAUGUUGAUUAUGCUGGUGUUGGUGCUGAUGACGGCGGUGGAACUACACGUCGUAAGAAACAAAAACAAAUUAUAUGGGAAGAUGAGCAUGUUGGGGUAUUCUUGGAGCUUCUCGAUAUUGAGUUGGCUAAAAUUAGAUACAGACAAAAGUUACCGAAAGAGGUAGGAAGAGAGCGUAUUUGUAAAGAGUUUUUGGAGAAAACUGGUAUAAGCCUUUCUUGGGAGCCUUUCAAAAGCAAAUACGAUAUAUUGAGAAAUAUGUAUGGAUCGUAAUUUUACUGGAGUUUCAGCAGAUGACAAUACCGGUUUGAUUGAGAUGGAUUCUGAAUGGUGGGACGAUCGCGAAAAGGUACAUUAGUGUACAUAGUUGAUAUUUAAAAAUCAAUUAACAAACCUUGUUACUGAUAUUUAAAAAUCAAUUAACAAACCUUGUUAUUGGAUUUUUUAAUUUAAAGGUCAUGUUAUUAUUAUUGUUAUUUCAUUUUUUAUUAUUAUUUAUAUUAGAAUAAAUAUUAUUAUUUGAUUAUAAUAUUUAGAAAUAAUAUAUAUUGAAAAUUAUUUUUCAAAUUUAAUACUCAUUUAAAACAUUUUUAAAUAUUUAAUGGUUUAUUUGUUUUUAAUAAAUAUAUCACUAUUAAUAUGUUUAUAUAUUCAUUUAUUUUAUUAAGAAAUUCAUACUACAACUUAUACAUCAAAAAAGUUACCAGUCAAUAGUUUUUAAAAAAUGAUUACUUUUAUUUUUACUGCGAACUUACCACAUAAACUUACAGUUUAUACCACAUAAAUUUUUACUGCAAGUUAUAUCGAAUUACAAAUCAUACUGCAACUCGGCUUUAAUACUACAUUGAAAAGAUAACAAACUGAAAUAAAUAUAACAGUUACUACUACUACAAAAGUUCACUGAUUGUAGCAGUUUUAUUGUAUAAAACAAAAUAAGGGUAUAUUCGUUGUGCUACACUUUGACGAUGAAAAAUAUUUGUGUUAUUUCAAUUUUGUCACUUUUUGUUUUCAUUACUUAAGAAAUAAAAAGAAAAUAUUUUAUCAAUAAAAAAGAAAAGAAAUAAAAAAAGAA
Molecule: long non-coding RNA, 1134 nt
Organism: Brassica rapa (field mustard)
Lineage: Eukaryota; Viridiplantae; Streptophyta; Magnoliopsida; Brassicales; Brassicaceae
Source: RefSeq, a predicted model, not a curated record